RNAcentral lists this ribosomal RNA (583 nucleotides) under uncultured cyanobacterium. RNAcentral's name for it is "bacterial SSU rRNA". It matches the Rfam family "Bacterial small subunit ribosomal RNA", at positions 1 to 634 of the family's 1533-position model. Lineage: Bacteria; Bacillati; Cyanobacteriota. The record is from RNAcentral.
GCUUAGAGUUUGAUCCUGGCUCAGGAUGAACGCUGGCGGCGUGCUUAACACAUGCAAGUCGAACGGUCUCUUCGGAGAUAGUGGCGGACGGGUGAGUAACGCAUGAGAAUCUGCCUUUAGGUUCGGGACAACAGUUGGAAACGACUGCUAAUACCGAAUGUGUCGCAAGAUGAAAGAUUUAUUGCCUAAAGAUGAGCUCGCGUCUGAUUAGCUAGUUGGUGGGGUAAAAGCGUACCAAGGCGACGAUCAGUAGCUGGUCUGAGAGGAUGAUCAGCCACACUGGGACUGAGACACGGCCCAGACUCCUACGGGAGGCAGCAGUGGGGAAUUUUCCGCAAUGGGCGAAAGCCUGACGGAGCAACGCCGCGUGAGGGAGGAAGGCUUUUGGGUUGUAAACCUCUUUUAUUAAGGAGGAUAAUGACGGUACUUGAUGAAUCAGCAUCGGCUAACUCCGUGCCAGCAGCCGCGGUAAUACGGAGGAUGCAAGCGUUAUCCGGAAUAAUUGGGCGUAAAGCGUUCGUAGGUGGUUUUGCAAGUCUGCUGUUAAAGCGUGUAGCUUAACUACAUAAUGGCGGUGGAAACU